CUUGAGCGAGUCUCACUGGUGAAUUUAUCGAUACACCAUCGACUGCCGUAGUUCCAUUUAUGGGGUGAAGAGUGACCACGCCGUUAUUAUUUUCAAUCGUGCAAUGAAUGGACUCGACGCCGGUACCAACAACAGAAAUAUCCGCAUCUCGACUCGAUCCAAGGGUUAAUUUACCUAAACAAAAAAAUUUGUUUUAUAACGAAUCUACGAACAAUUGGCAUUCUACGCGGAAGGAUUCGAAAGAUACUCGGGCACAAAUAUCGAACGAGUUGAG
Molecule: unclassified non-coding RNA, 274 nt
Filed under: Bombus terrestris (buff-tailed bumblebee)
Lineage: Eukaryota; Metazoa; Arthropoda; Insecta; Hymenoptera; Apidae
Description: misc RNA ENSBTSG00005025996.1
Source: RNAcentral